UACGUAGGUGGCAAGCGUUGUCCGGAUUUAUUGGGCGUAAAGGGCGCGCAGGCGGUUCGUUAAGUUCGAGGUGAAAUCUCCUGGCUCAACCGGGAGGGGUCUUCGGAUACUGGCGGACUUGAGGAGAGCAGAGGUGAGUGGAAUUCUGGGUGUAGUGGUGAAAUGCGUAGAUAUCCAGAGGAACACCAGUGGCGAAGGCGACUCACUGGGCUCCACCUGACGCUGAGGCGCGAAAGCGUGGGGAGCGAACCGG
RNAcentral lists this ribosomal RNA (253 nucleotides) under uncultured bacterium. RNAcentral describes it as "partial 16S ribosomal RNA". It matches the Rfam family "Bacterial small subunit ribosomal RNA", at positions 524 to 776 of the family's 1533-position model. The record is from RNAcentral.